AGCUUCAUCAUUAUGCUAGAGCUUGUCGCCUUCAAAAUAACCCCAGGGCGCGCAAGUGUGGACAAUGAAGCAAGAAUAAAUGUACGGCUGGUUCAUUCCUUCAAAUGGCCACCCUCCGUCAAGUCAUGAAUCAUCUUGUCUGCCCGUCCCGGGUCUUGAUGGUAUGUGCUUGCGGAUACAUAUCCU
This 186-nucleotide small nucleolar RNA is filed under the name Neurospora crassa. Its description in RNAcentral is "box H/ACA snoRNA ACA18". Lineage: Eukaryota; Fungi; Ascomycota; Sordariomycetes; Sordariales; Sordariaceae. The record is from RNAcentral.